Poecilia reticulata (guppy) is the source of this 1219-nucleotide non-coding RNA. NCBI's taxonomy places the organism in Eukaryota, Metazoa, Chordata, Actinopteri, Cyprinodontiformes, Poeciliidae. The record is from RefSeq and is a predicted model, not a curated record.
UUUGUGUUUUUGCAGUAAAAUCCAGAAUCAGCUCAUAAAAAAGCGACUCUAUCGUCUGUGAGUUCAGUGUUUUAGGUGUGCUGGUUCUGUGACAUCUGACCUAAUUAAACCGUUUGGACCCAAACAAACAGCAAUGGUUGCUGCAGUGACCCCAGCAGGCCGCUCUGUGACCCUUAGUUACUGUUGCUACGCUGGUCAAACACACCUCCUCCUCCUCCUGCAGGUCAGACACCGUUCUGACCCCGAAACCCGACGCAGAUCAAGAAAAGCCGCCGCUGCUUCUGCUGCUUUCCUUGGAAACUGAGCCUCAGAGGGUUGGGGGGGCUUUCCUUUCUGUUUCUGGCUCUUUCUCCCACUGAGGAGCCAUAUAAGGAGAGGAGCUGCUGGGGCCCAGCGUGCUGCAGAUCACACGCCGUUUUACUGGAAACAUCCACAGUGAGAGACGCAGGAAGCAGCAUGAGCUCAAACACGGCAGGAAUGCUGGGAAUGUCAGGAACGAGUACAGCAACAAUAACAUGACAGGCGGGAACAGGACGUCACCUGGCUGCAGGCCACGCCGAGCCGGAGACACAAACCGCCUGAGCCUGAAAGGUCAGACACCCACAGCGACCUUUACUCCACUUUCCAUGUUCUGCUGAAACUCGAACCUGAGGACGGUCCGUCCCGGAAGGCUGCCGCCGCCGCCAGGAAUCCGGAGCCCGCGGGACGGAACCUGCAGUCCCGCAGGAAGAGCCGCCUCCCCUGGCUGUUAGCUGUCCUUCCACUGCCUGCCAGAAAUGUCUUCUUAUGAAAAAAUGUAUGUUAUUCAGUUUGACGCAAAACAAAAUCCUGUCAAACAAAAUCCUGUCGACUGCAUUCACAGGUUUUAACACUAAAGUUGCUCCACUCUCUCAGUCUUUACUAAACUUCUUAAAUACUUAAAAAUAACUACGAUGUUUUGAUAUUUUGUUUUAAUUAGAGUCAACUUAAGUAGAUAAAAAUCCCCAAACUAGUGGGUGUUCUUAUCUAGCGCAUUAGCAAACCUCUGCUAAUCAAAAAUCUUGCUCCAGUAUUAGCAUAGCUGAUUUUUCGUGGAGCACGUUAGCAUUUUUACUAAUUUUGAAAACGUUUACCACACUUAUCUUAACAUGAAUUGGUUUUCUGGAUGAAUUAUAAAGUAUGUAUUUAGUUGGCUGUUUUGUAAACUUUCAGUUGAAUAAAGUUCAACAUCUGUGGUGAA